UAAAAAUUACCACAAAUUAAUAACAAUUGCUAAUACAUGUAGAAAUGGUCAUCUCCAUAUGCUAGUAAUUAAGGAACACAAUCACAUGAGCAUGGAUUUUCCUUUCUCAGGCUUCAGGGUCAAGAAUAGAUUUCCUCAACGCCUACCAGAGCCACAAACUCAGUUCUGUCAACCUCUAAGGAGUGACCUGCAGAAACUGUAAGCUAUCUAGCUAGGCAUUGAGAGUUUUGCAUAUGGCUAAUAUCUAUUAUAAUAAUAUCCAAACCAUAGCUGCAAUUAUUAAUAAUACAUUCCAGAGAUGACUAUCUACAUACAGUCACAUUUCUUUUUUGUCUGGGUUUCAAGGGAAUUAUUACCUAAGUGCCCCCAUGAGUAUGUCCUUGUUGUUUCGAGAGAGGCUUCCACAUGCACCAAUAUGCAAGCACACACAGAAAAGCUAAAUGCAGAUCUGUAAUAUCUAAGAGAGGAAAAAAGAGUAUUGGCCGUUAAAUAAUUCAAAAAACAAGUUUGCGCUCCUAGAAACUCAGGAACAUAAGAUGGGUGUAUCAUCUUCAUAGCCAUUAGUGGAGAAGCCGAUAGAUAGAUGCGCACAACCACUAUGUACAGUCGCAUAAUGCCAAAUAGUCAACUGGGGUUACAGGGCAGGUUGCAUUUAGUGGAGAUAAACUUUGAUCAGUAUAAUGGCCAUAUGGAACAUCGAGAUAGAUGGGUCCAAGUCUGAUAGAAAUCCCAUCUGUACCAGUACGAGACAUUAAGCCCGUCUAAUGAAAGCCCCUGCCUAAACAUAAAUGCAGAAUAUGUACAACCACAAAGACCUAGAACUCGCGUGUUCUUGUAUAAGGGAAA
Molecule: unclassified non-coding RNA, 846 nt
Filed under: Hevea brasiliensis (rubber tree)
Lineage: Eukaryota; Viridiplantae; Streptophyta; Magnoliopsida; Malpighiales; Euphorbiaceae
Source: RNAcentral